GGGGUUGUGGUUCAGAGGUAGAGCACUCACCUAGCAUGCGUGAGAUUGGGUUCAAUCCUCAGGACCACA
RNAcentral lists this transfer RNA (69 nucleotides) under Marmota monax (woodchuck). RNAcentral's name for it is "tRNA.Ala". Lineage: Eukaryota; Metazoa; Chordata; Mammalia; Rodentia; Sciuridae. The record is from RNAcentral.